CAACGUGAGCAACCUGCCUUUCAGAGGGGGAUAACAGUUGGAAACGACUGCUAAUACCGCAUAACGCUGCGAUGGGGCAUCCCGAUGCAGCCAAAGGAGCAAUCCGCUGGAAGAUGGGCUCGCGGCCGAUUAGCUAGUUGGUGGGGCAACGGCCCACCAAGGCGACGAUCGGUAGCCGGACUGAGAGGUUGAUCGGCCACAUUGGGACUGAGAUACGGCCCAGACUCCUACGGGAGGCAGCAG
RNAcentral lists this ribosomal RNA (243 nucleotides) under uncultured bacterium. Its description in RNAcentral is "partial 16S ribosomal RNA". It matches the Rfam family "Bacterial small subunit ribosomal RNA", at positions 113 to 354 of the family's 1533-position model. The record is from RNAcentral.